Molecule: ribosomal RNA, 465 nt
Filed under: uncultured bacterium
Lineage: Bacteria
Description: bacterial SSU rRNA
Rfam family: Bacterial small subunit ribosomal RNA
Source: RNAcentral
CCUACGGGUUGCAGCAGUGGGGAAUAUUGCACAAUGGGCGCAAGCCUGAUGCAGCCAUGCCGCGUGUAUGAAGAAGGCCUUCGGGUUGUAAAGUACUUUCAGCGAGGCGGAAGGCAUUAAGGUUAAUAACCUUGGUGAUUGACGUUACUCGCAGAAGAAGCACCGGCUAACUCCGUGCCAGCAGCCGCGGUAAUACGGAGGGUGCAAGCGUUAAUCGGAAUUACUGGGCGUAAAGCGCACGCAGGCGGUUUGUUAAGUCGGAUGUGAAAUCCCCGGGCUCAACCUGGGAACUGCAUUCGAAACUGGCAAGCUUGAGUCUUGUAGAGGGGGGUAGAAUUCCAUGUGUAGCGGUGAAAUGCAUAGAGAUGUGGAGGAAUACCGGUGGCGAAGGCGGCCCCCUGGACAAAGACUGACGCUCAGGUGCGAAAGCGUGGGGAGCAAACAGGAUUAGAUACCCCCGUAGUC